Small nucleolar RNA from Myodes glareolus (Bank vole), 129 nucleotides. RefSeq annotates it as small nucleolar RNA SNORA70. NCBI's taxonomy places the organism in Eukaryota, Metazoa, Chordata, Mammalia, Rodentia, Cricetidae. The record is from RefSeq and is a predicted model, not a curated record.
CCGCGGUCAAUUAAGUCAACCAAAUUUCUUUCACAGGGACCUGUGUGCAAUGGCUGCACACAGUAUUCUCCUUGGGAGUGCAUGCGAUCUGUUGCUUGCUGGAAUGUUCUAAGAGAAACAGAGUUAUCU